AGCGGAUGGGGAGCAACCUAGUUGUGCUUGUGUAAAGGUAGUGCCAAGAAAAGCGAUGAUCAUGUUGAAAAUCAAUUCCCGGUACCCGAAACCGACACAGGUGGGCAAGUAGAGAAUACUAAGGGGCGCGAGGUAACUCUCUCCAAGGAACUCGGCAAAAUGACCCCGUAACUUAGGGAGAAGGGGUGCCACCGAGAGGUGGUCGCAGUGAAGAGGCCCAGGCGACUGUUUAGCAAAAACAUAGGUCUCUGCAAACUCGAAAGAGGAGGUAUAGGGGCUGACGCCUGCCCAGUGCCGGAAGGUUAAAGAAGUUGGUCAGUUUUAGGAUGAAGCUAGCGACUGAAGCCCCGGUGAACGGCGGCCGUAACUAUAACGGUCCUAAGGUAGCGAAAUUCCUUGUCGGGUAGGUGCCGACCCGCACGAAAGGCGUAACGAUCUGGGCGCUGUCUCGGAGAGAGGCUCGGCGAAAUAGGAUUGUCUGUGAAGAUACGGACUACCUGCAUUUGGACAGAAAGACCCUAUGAAGCUUUACUAUAGCUUGGAAUUGUGUUCGGGCUUCCUGUGCGCAGGAUAGGUGGGAGGCGUAGAAGGUAUUCUUGUGGGGAUACUGGAGCCAACGGUGAGAUACCACUCUCAGGAGGCUAGAAUUCUAACUUAAUUAAGGACAGUUUCAGGUGGGUAGUUUGACUGGGGCGGUCGCCUCCAAAAAGGUAACGGAGGCGUACAAAGGUUCCCUCAGACUGGUUGGAAAUCAGUCGAAGAGUGCAAAGGCAGAAGGGAGCUUGACUGCGAGAAGUACAGUUCGAGCAGGGUGGAAACACGGUCUUAGUGAUCCGACGGUGCUGUGUGGAAGGGCCGUCGCUCAACGGAUAAAAGUUACUCUAGGAUAACAGGCUGAUCUCCCCCAAGGGUUCACAUCGACGGGGAGGUUUGGCACCUCGAUGUCGGCUCAUCGCAACCUGGGGCGGAAGUACGUCCCAAGGGUUGGGCUGUUCGCCCAUUAAAGCGGUACGUGAGCUGGGUUCAGAACGUCGUGAGACAGUUCGGUCCAUAUCCGAUGUAGGCGUGAGAAUAUUGAGAGGAGCCUUCCUUAGUACGAGAGGACCGGGAAGGACGCACCGCUGGUGUACCUGUUAUGAUGCCAAUUGUAAACGCAGGGUAGCCAAGUGCGGAGAGGAUAACCGCUGAAAGCAUCUAAGUGGGAAGCCCACCUCAAGAUGAGUAUUCUGGUGUAAGGUCACGGGAAGAUGACCCGUAAAUAGGCACGAGGUGGAAGUGCAGAGAUGUAUGAAGCCGAAGUGUACUAAUAGACCGUCGGCUUGAUA
This 1325-nucleotide ribosomal RNA is filed under the name metagenome. RNAcentral describes it as "bacterial LSU rRNA". It matches the Rfam family "Bacterial large subunit ribosomal RNA", at positions 1561 to 2925 of the family's 2925-position model. The record is from RNAcentral.